GAUGAACGCUGGCGGCGUGCCUAAUACAUGCAAGUCGAGCGAACAGAUGAGGAGCUUGCUCCUCUGACGUUAGCGGCGGACGGGUGAGUAACACGUGGAUAACCUACCUAUAAGACUGGGAUAACUUCGGGAAACCGGAGCUAAUACCGGAUAAUAUAUUGAACCGCAUGGUUCAAUAGUGAAAGACGGUUUUGCUGUCACUUAUAGAUGGAUCCGCGCCGCAUUAGCUAGUUGGUAAGGUAACGGCUUACCAAGGCAACGAUGCGUAGCCGACCUGAGAGGGUGAUCGGCCACACUGGAACUGAGACACGGUCCAGGCUCCUACGGGAGGCAGCAGUAGGGAAUCUUCCGCAAUGGGCGAAAGCCUGACGGAGCAACGCCGCGUGAGUGAUGAAGGUCUUCGGAUCGUAAAACUCUGUUAUUAGGGAAGAACAAAUGUGUAAGUAACUAUGCACGUCUUGACGGUACCUAAUCAGAAGGCCACGGCUAACUACGUG
RNAcentral lists this ribosomal RNA (497 nucleotides) under uncultured bacterium. Its description in RNAcentral is "partial 16S ribosomal RNA". It matches the Rfam family "Bacterial small subunit ribosomal RNA", at positions 28 to 507 of the family's 1533-position model. The record is from RNAcentral.